AUGUUCCCUGAUGGUGCUGCUCAGCCUGCAAGUGAAUUCCAGCUGUGGGAGAUCCUUAGACCUGGGAUACAAACAGAGCCACAAGACAUUUGGGAAAGAUCAUAUGGAAAUUGCUCAUUGCAGUGCGGUGUAGGGAGAAGUGAGAAAAAGGAAAUACUCCCAGUUGAGCAACCUUGCAUAGCCAGGCAUGGAGGAGUGCUGCCACUGUCAUUGUUUUGGAAGACCGUCAGCAUUUCUUGCUGCAGGACACCAGUGCCCUUUUCUACCUCAUGCUAUUAUAGAAGCUUAGUGGAUUUUUUUUUUUCCCCAGGAUCUGUGUCCAGUUGUAGAGGUAAGUGCAGUUAAACGCAUGCCUUGCAGGUAUCACAGGUAAUUCUUGUUGUUCUCUCCCCAUUGUUGAAACCAGCCAUACACACUGGGUUUUUUUCUUCCCUAUUCCUUUGCUGCAUCCAUCCUUAUACAUAGUGUGUGAACGUUGCAGACUUCAGGUAAAGGUGCUAAGGUGAGACCAGAGCCAUGCAACAGCUGACCUUCGCAGAGCAAAAGUGAUUUCUGCUUUAUUACUUCCUUUAUUUCUGCAUUUAACGCCUGAAGCUUUCAGCUGCAGGUUUUAGGUGGAAAAGGACACAGGAAAUAUUUUUUUUGUAUUAAUCUACCCUAAUGCCCUGUCUUCUGGGGGACAUGAGACACUCAUUUGGCAUGAACCAGCAGAGCUCCUUGCUUUUAUCAGAGCCACAUCCACUUGUACCAGCUGGGAGCUGUGUGUGUCACUGUUCCCUUGCUGUACCUGGAAGCACUGAGGAGUUCAUUUUCACCAGAGCAGCCAGUAAUUAACUGAUUAAUUAGCUUUAAUGUUCCUGCAAUAGUUUAAUGUGCUAAUUUUUUGAAGAUUUUUUUUGAUAGUCCAGUUAACCACUUGAAUCAUCACUAACCACUGCAGUACUUUUUCUCUGAG
This 955-nucleotide long non-coding RNA is filed under the name Anser brachyrhynchus (Pink-footed goose). RNAcentral describes it as "lncRNA (ENSABRG00000009989.1)". Lineage: Eukaryota; Metazoa; Chordata; Aves; Anseriformes; Anatidae. The record is from RNAcentral.